GACCCACUAGCUCAAUUGGAUAGAGUGACAGCCUCCUAAGCUGUAGGUUGCGAGUUCGAUUCCCGCGCGGGUCA
RNAcentral lists this transfer RNA (74 nucleotides) under Treponema sp. RNAcentral describes it as "tRNA-Arg". It matches the Rfam family "tRNA". From Rfam's summary of the family: Transfer RNA (tRNA) molecules are approximately 80 nucleotides in length. Lineage: Bacteria; Pseudomonadati; Spirochaetota; Spirochaetia; Treponematales; Treponemataceae. The record is from RNAcentral. RNAcentral also lists the same sequence under 1 other name.